Molecule: ribosomal RNA, 468 nt
Filed under: uncultured bacterium
Lineage: Bacteria
Description: partial 16S ribosomal RNA
Rfam family: Bacterial small subunit ribosomal RNA
Source: RNAcentral
GACGAACGCUGGCGGCGUGCUUAACACAUGCAAGUCGAACGGAAAGGCCCUGCUUUUGUGGGGUGCUCGAGUGGCGAACGGGUGAGUAACACGUGAGUAACCUGCCCCUGACUUUGGGAUAACUUCAGGAAACUGGGGCUAAUACCGGAUAUGAGAUCCUGCUGCAUGGUGUGGGUUGGAAAGUUUCGGCGGUUGGGGAUGGACUCGCGGCUUAUCAGCUUGUUGGUGGGGUAGUGGCUUACCAAGGCUUUGACGGGUAGCCGGCCUGAGAGGGUGACCGGCCACAUUGGGACUGAGGUACGGCCCAGACUCCUACGUGACGCAGCAGUGGGGAAUAUUGCACAAUGGGCGGAAGCCUGAUGCAGCAACGCCGCGUGCGGGAUGACGGCCUUCGGGUUGUAAACCGCUUUCGCCUGUGACGAAGCGUGAGUGACGGUAAUGGGUAAAGAAGCACCGGCUAACUACGUG